UUUGCUUACUGAAAAUGGGAACACUAAGGAUGAUCUUAGGCUCCCAACUGAUGAUAGUCUGCUGAGCCAGAUCAAGGAAGGAUUUGAAUCAGGGAAGGAUUUGGUUGUGAGCGUGAUGUCUGCUAUGGGUGAGGAGCAGAUCUGUGCCCUGAAGGACAUUGGCCCUAAGAAUUAGUUUUACCAUCUCUGUCAUUGUUAUGUUUGGUCUUCUAUGUUUUCUGAAAAAAAAAAAAAAAAAAGAAAGAAAGAAAGAAAGAAAGAGAGAAAUUCUGAUCAUCUAGAUUUUGCAUUUUAUAUUUGAAAAUGUUGUGUUAUGUUGUGGGAAAACCGUAGCCUGCUUGGAAUAUGUGGUAGUGCAUUUGUGAUGGGUGGGUAAUUGGUUGCACCUUGUUAAAAAAAUUAUGGUGUUUUAAUUUGUGUAAUGAAUUAAAAUAUCAGUGAGAAAUGGUUCUUUGGCUUUCA
Molecule: long non-coding RNA, 462 nt
Organism: Pistacia vera
Lineage: Eukaryota; Viridiplantae; Streptophyta; Magnoliopsida; Sapindales; Anacardiaceae
Exons: 2
Source: RefSeq, a predicted model, not a curated record